CCGUUUUCCUCACGUAGUGCAACACAUUUCCUUCAUGGUAGCAAUAAAUUGGUCCACUCUUCAAUGGCUGUGCCAAGUUGCUGGAUAUUGACAGGAAAUGGAACAUAAUGUCGUAUACGCCGAUCCACAGCAUCCCAAACGUGCUCAAUGGGUAACAUGUCCGUUGCAGAAUUGUAUUAUGUAAAUGAGGCUGCCUCAUUCAUCAAGGACUGUGAUGAUGAAGCUGGCCAGACAGGGACGUCAUCUGGACACAGAUCAGAGGGAAGACAGAGGCUGGAACCGGCGGAGCAGAUGUGGAUAUUAUGAUCCAUGGCAGGAGAGAAGAGACUAGGUCCGUGUCCAGGCAGAUGAUCCAUGGCAGGAGAGAAGAGACUAGGUCCGUGUCCAGGCGAGGGUCGGAAAUCGAGGAAAGCAGUCCAAAACACCGGGGAAACGACAGGGGGUCUGGAAGGGAAAGACUCGGGAAGGCGCUGCGGGAGAGCAACGCGGACUUCAGAAAACACGGAGGGAAACAACACAGAGAUAGAGCAUAGGGCUUACGGUACACAAAGAGCUAACUAAGUUCCCGCGCUAGUCCUUGGGUCCACUGAUCCUUUAUCCAGCUCGCCCUUAUCACACCAGGUGUGCAGAUUGCCGAUUGUUUGCAGGCUUGUCGCUGCUUGGGUGUGCUGCACUCAGCGUGAGCGGAGGUGCGUCCGGGCAAGCAGCCAGAUGAGGAACUGUGACACUCAGUUGCAGGAGGG
Molecule: long non-coding RNA, 743 nt
Organism: Nerophis ophidion (straightnose pipefish)
Lineage: Eukaryota; Metazoa; Chordata; Actinopteri; Syngnathiformes; Syngnathidae
Exons: 3
Source: RefSeq, a predicted model, not a curated record